AGAGUUUGAUCCUGGCUCAGAGCGAACGCUGGCGGCAGGCUUAACACAUGCAAGUCGAGCGGGCGUAGCAAUACGUCAGCGGCAGACGGGUGAGUAACGCGUGGGAACGUACCUUUUGGUUCGGAACAACACAGGGAAACUUGUGCUAAUACCGGAUAAGCCCUUACGGGGAAAGAUUUAUCGCCGAAAGAUCGGCCCGCGUCUGAUUAGCUAGUUGGUGAGGUAAUGGCUCACCAAGGCGACGAUCAGUAGCUGGUCUGAGAGGAUGAUCAGCCACAUUGGGACUGAGACACGGCCCAAACUCCUACGGGAGGCAGCAGUGGGGAAUAUUGGACAAUGGGGGCAACCCUGAUCCAGCCAUGCCGCGUGAGUGAUGAAGGCCCUAGGGUUGUAAAGCUCUUUUGUGCGGGAAGAUAAUGACGGUACCGCAAGAAUAAGCCCCGGCUAACUUCGUGCCAGCCGCCGCGGUAAUAC
Molecule: ribosomal RNA, 474 nt
Filed under: uncultured bacterium
Lineage: Bacteria
Description: bacterial SSU rRNA
Rfam family: Bacterial small subunit ribosomal RNA
Source: RNAcentral